UUGUUCUCUGAUAUAAAAAAGCAAAUCAAGAAAUUACUGUAUAUAAUGGUUAAUUAAGCCCAAUGAAGUUAAAAUAAAUUUGUAAUUAUUAUUCUUUUGGAUUUAUAUAGUCCCUGAAAUGGUUAUUUUCAAACAUAAAUUUAAAUGUUUUAAAUAUAUUUAACUGGCAAAUCGGUGUAUUCUUAUGGAUGUCAUUCUCUUCAAAUCAGUCAAAGAGACUUGAGGAUUUUCAGUGAUGCUGGCAACAUCAUUGGUUUUGUUUCCCAUCCCCCCAUCUUUCUCUGUAAUCUAUCCAUUUCUCAGCCAUCUGUAUGUCCAUAUCUAAAGCUGUAUGUGCUUAUAUCUAUUCAGUGAAUGUCAUGAUGCUACUUUGGAAUUUUUUCCAACAUUGCAUUUAUUCUGCAUUGGGUACCCAACAUUUGCUCUAUGAUAGUGUAGUUCUCAUGAGCCACGUGUGGAUAUUAUUACAAUUGUUGUUAUUGUUGUUAGUAGUAGUCUUAUUGAACACAUUAUUCUUCAAGGGUAGACUUUUAAAAACUGUAUUUUAAGAUUUUGUUUCUAUUUACAUGUGUGUGUCUGUCUGUCUGAAUCUCUGCCACAUGUGUAUGGGUGCCUGUGGAGAUCAGAAGUAGUGUUGAAUUCUCUGCAGCUCGUUAUUGGCAGUUGUGAAUUGCCUAUUUGAAUGCUGAGAACUGGAGCCUGGGUCCUCUGAAGAGAAACAAGCACCAUGGAUUUUUAUUUUAUAUUUUUAUUUCAGUAGUCAAAGUUGUCCUCAUUUCAGUGACCCUGAUAGAUUGCUUUUCAGAAUGAUGCUCUCGUGGGUUUUUUGUUUGUUUGUUUUUUGUUUUAUUUUUGUUUUUCUAAAUAGAAUUCAUGUAUAUCUAAGUUUCUUUUAGGUCAUAGGUCAUAUCUUGGCUUUCAUGUUGCUUUUUGAUUAUUGUCAGAUACUGCUUUCAAAGGUCAUCCCACCUUUUUAGGUGGCUUCAGUACUUUCCCCAAUUUCCUGUCUUUGAUCAUCAACCUGGUCUCCUGGUUCCAGCAUUUACAUCAAUGUUUAAUUCUUCUCUCUUAGCUAAUAGGACCAUUUGAAUGCAUGCCUAUGCUUCGUUUCUUUGAAUUCCCACUAGUUUAUGAUGUUCAGCAACUAUUAUCAUCAGGGUCAUUUUCAGUUUUGUUAUGUUUUCUCAUUUACUCUUUAGUCAUGCUCACUUGACAUAAAGGCCACCAUAAUAUUUGAGCCCUUUCUCCUUUCCCCUUUUCUUUGUAUUAUGUUCAAUUCUGAAAUGUAUAUGAGAUUCAUACCAAUCUCACUUUAUAAAAUAAAAUUUCAGUGUGUUUAUGUUUUUGUGUGCAUAUGCACGUGCAUGUACAUGUCAUAUGUACUAGGGAGUUUUACUAAGGUUAUUCACAGGAGCUUGGGUGAUAUAAUCAGUCUUCUUAUUUUUGUUGAGGAUUAUUUGGCUAUCUGAGCUCAUUUGUGCUUCCAGAUGUAGCUUAAUAUGUUUUUGGGUUUUUUUGUUUUGUUUUUGUUUUUGCUUUUGUUUUUUCUGAUUCUCUGAAGAAUAGUAUUAGAAUCUUUAUUGGAUUGAAUUGAAUGUGUAUAUUUCUUUUGGUCAAAUGGCUAUUUCACAAUAUUAAUUUUUCCAGUUUAUUAGCAUGCAAAAUCUUCAGGUUUCUUCCUCAACUUGUUAUGUUUUACAGUUUUAAUUACAGGGGCCUUUGCGUCUCAUUGUCCCGGGAGUUGCACAGAGACUUUACAUACUUCUUUAAGGCUGUUAGACUAGCAAGGUUAUUUCCAUGCCUGAGUUCUUUUUUUCUCAACAUGUUUCCUUUUUCUUUAUUUUUUUAAAACUUUUUAUUUAAAACAGGUGUUUUCACUGUGUAGCCCAGAUGGCUACAAUUUAAACUUCUCAUGUCUCAGCCUCCCAAGUUCUAGAAUUACAAGGUGUGUGUGUCAUCACAUCUGGCUUUCUCCCCCUUUUUUUAAUAUGCAUAAUUCAGGAAUUUGUCUUUCAAAUCUAGGUAAUACAAAGGCAAUAUAAAUUCUUUUAUUUAUAACUAGGGGUCAGAUAGAUUAAGUUGACUUAGAUAUCUUAAUGAUGCAAAUUUUAGAUAUAUUUGAAAGCCACCAGAAAAACCUUAAAGUGUAAUUUUGAUCUUACUUUCCUAAUAAGUAAAAAAGCAAAAAAGGUAUUCUUGUCUGAAGGAAAAUAAUUUUUAAAUUUUAUUUUUAAGGUAGUAUUUGAUUCAUGUAUUUUAUGAAUCAGACAGUCUUAGACUCAUUAUUCAAAGGGAAUAAUUAUAUAUACAAAUAAUUUUGAGUCUUCUCAACUUGUUUAUUGAAAAAACUUUAUUCUUGUGAUACUAUUAUAUGUAUACAUAUUAAUUGUUUACUAAUACUUUCACUCAAGUUGAAGAAAUAACAUUUCAACUCCUGAGAAUAUGAAAUCUAUGGAGAGUAUUUUCUUAAUUUGCUGCAAUUUUUCUGAAUACGCAGCCUGUGUUCUAUGGAACCCAUUUACCUGGGCUUGCAUUAUAAAGCAUCACUGCCAGAAAUUAAUUCAGCAGGUUUGUGGUAAUCUGAGAAUUCACAUUUCUAAAUACAUUCUCAGGUGAUGCGGGUGCUGUUGUGUGUGACUUCCCUUUUAGAAAUAACUGUGGUAACCUAGCCCUGGCUUUCUAAUACGAGACAGAGUUAAAAGGGCGUACACAACAUAUGGUCAUAUGGCUAACAGUGUAGUUAGUGACCUUUCUGUUCUGUGCUGAGGGAGACAUUGGUUUAUUUUAGGAGUCCUCAUUUUCAUUUUGUUGCUGGUAAUCUAAAACACUCACAUUGAAAUAUUUGACUUUAAACAUGUAAACAGCAGCCUCUAGCUCAAUUUUUGAAAUUAAUUUAAAUCAUUUCAGUUCCUCCCUAUUUCUGUAAGCACACUAAGACUUUGAAGUAGUAUAUUAUUACUCCUAACCAUAAUAUAGUGAAAAUAUAUAUAAAAGUAUAGGUUUAUAGUUUUUUAUAUAACAGUGAGGUAUUCAUCAUGAAUAUGCUUAGGGAAAUAUAUGUCAAUAG
This 3067-nucleotide long non-coding RNA is filed under the name Mus musculus (house mouse). Its description in RNAcentral is "long non-coding RNA chr9:72331517-72334584". Lineage: Eukaryota; Metazoa; Chordata; Mammalia; Rodentia; Muridae. The record is from RNAcentral.